CAAUAGCGUAUAUUAACGUUGUUGCAGUUAAAAAGCUCGUAGUUGGAUUUCUGGAGGGAGCGUCGGCCCGUAUUUACGAGUGCGUGACGUCUCUGUCCAUCCUUGCGGGAAGGCACGGCAUUGAUUUGUUGUGUCGGAUCGCAUCAUUUACUGUGAAAAAAUUAGAGUGUUCAAAGCAGGCUUUCGCUUGAAUACAUUAGCAUGGAAUAAUAAGAUAGGACUUUGGUGCUAUUUUGUUGGUUGAGCCUAAAGUAAUGAUUAAUAGGGAUAGUUGGGGGCACCUGUAUUGCGUUGUCAGAGGUGAAAUUCUUGGAUUUACGCAAGACAAACAGCAGCGAAAGCGUCUGCCAAGGAUGUUUUCAUUAA
Molecule: ribosomal RNA, 366 nt
Filed under: uncultured eukaryote
Lineage: Eukaryota
Description: partial 18S ribosomal RNA
Rfam family: Eukaryotic small subunit ribosomal RNA
Source: RNAcentral